Molecule: long non-coding RNA, 852 nt
Organism: Lucilia cuprina (Australian sheep blowfly)
Lineage: Eukaryota; Metazoa; Arthropoda; Insecta; Diptera; Calliphoridae
Exons: 2
Source: RefSeq, a predicted model, not a curated record
UUUAUUUGAUUUUGUGUUGUGUGUGUUUGAUUAAAUUCAAUAAGAACAGUUUGAAUUUGAAAGUUGAACUGAUCACACACAGACUGUUAAGAGUGUGUUGUGUUGGUUGUCAUCGUCAUUAUUUUCGUUCGUUCGUACUUUGUCACUAGUGGCGUAUAAGUGUUGUUGAUUAUUUUUUGUGAAAAAAAUCUAAUACAAUUUACGCGCGCGUAAACUGUUUUACUUACUAAAAAGAAAGUAAUUAAAAAUAGCAGGCGUAUUUUGUGAAGAUUUAAAAAAUUGAUUAAAUUAUAAAAAAAUAUAUAUUUUUAGUGGCGAAUAAAUGUUAAAAAUAUAUUAAAAUAAAUACACAAAAAAAUACAAAUAUAUUUAAAAGAAAAAUUAAAAAUAAAUGAAAAUUUUCAAAUAAAACAAAAAUUAAUAAAAGUGUUGACAUAAUUUGAUUAAUAGUGCAGUUUUAUAUUUAGUGUAAUUAUUGUUGCUGUAAUAUUUUAAUGUGACAUUUGAAAUAAAUUAAAAACGUUUCUUUUUUUGCCAACCUUAGGUUUAUUGGAAAACCAAUAAAGGAUAAUCUAGUCUUCUUUGAACAUAUUGUGAUAUUUUCUUUUUUAUUUCCAAUGAUUGUGUUUGUGAAAAUUGUAAAAUAAUCAUUAAGAAUUUUUGUCACAAAACUUGAUCACAUAAUAAAAUGGUGAAAAUGCUUGACAUGGAUCGUCAUGCUGAUUGCCCCUUAUGGGAGGCAUUAGCUUCAAAAGAAGUUCCUUGGACUGGCAUGCGUUAUGCUUGUCUAAACGUUUUACAGGCCUAUUGUAAAGUGUUCGAUAAAAAAGAAAUUUAUGAUCUCAUUGUAAG